Molecule: transfer RNA, 60 nt
Filed under: marine eukaryotic metagenome
Rfam family: tRNA
About the family: Transfer RNA (tRNA) molecules are approximately 80 nucleotides in length. Their secondary structure includes four short double-helical elements and three loops (D, anti-codon, and T loops). Further hydrogen bonds mediate the characteristic L-shaped molecular structure. tRNAs have two regions of fundamental functional importance: the anti-codon, which is responsible for specific mRNA codon recognition, and the 3' end, to which the tRNAs corresponding amino acid is attached (by aminoacyl-tRNA synthetases). tRNAs cope with the degeneracy of the genetic code in two manners: having more than one tRNA (with a specific anti-codon) for a particular amino acid; and 'wobble' base-pairing, i.e. permitting non-standard base-pairing at the 3rd anti-codon position.
Source: RNAcentral
CUUAGCUCAGUGGUAGAGCAACGGUUUUGUAAACCGUAGGCCGUCAGUUCGAAUCUGACA